RNAcentral lists this unclassified non-coding RNA (502 nucleotides) under Hevea brasiliensis (rubber tree). Lineage: Eukaryota; Viridiplantae; Streptophyta; Magnoliopsida; Malpighiales; Euphorbiaceae. The record is from RNAcentral.
ACAGAAAGAGUUGAACCGUUACAUACCCACAGCUGCAGCAUUUGGAGGAAUGUGCAUUGGUGCACUGACCGUGUUGGCUGAUUUCAUGGGAGCAAUCGGUUCUGGAACCGGAAUUUUACUUGCAGUGACAAUUAUUUAUCAGUACUUCGAGACCUUCGAGAAGGAGAAAGUCAGCGAACUGGGUCUGUUUGGUUUCUAAACUUUUUCAUUCAGUUUAAUUUAUACUUUGGUGGUGCCAAAGAGCUCCCUGUCAAUUUUGGUGCCUAGGGAUUUUCACAAGUCUUAUUGUUAACAAAUCUUAAGAUCUAAAGUCCAAGAACCAGGUAUAACUCUAGCUUUCUUUCACUGUAAGAGCACAGAUAAUAUCAUCUUGAGACUCUGAAUCUCCACGCCUUCUCUUUUGUGCUUCUACUUCCGUCUUCAUUUUUUUUCCCGCAACAACAAUACCGUAGGUUUAACAGAAAAAAGAACGAGCCGAGUUUAUAUGUUAGCUAGGUUAUUG